GGUCUAUCUGCUCAGUUGGUUAGAGCGUGGUGCUAAUAAUGCCAAGGUCAUAGGUUCGACCCCUGUAUGGACCA
RNAcentral lists this transfer RNA (74 nucleotides) under Sphaerobolus stellatus SS14. RNAcentral describes it as "tRNA-Ile (AAT) (tRNA-Ile-AAT-57-1)". It matches the Rfam family "tRNA". From Rfam's summary of the family: Transfer RNA (tRNA) molecules are approximately 80 nucleotides in length. Their secondary structure includes four short double-helical elements and three loops (D, anti-codon, and T loops). The record is from Rfam by way of RNAcentral. Lineage: Eukaryota; Fungi; Basidiomycota; Agaricomycetes; Geastrales; Sphaerobolaceae.